Molecule: ribosomal RNA, 254 nt
Filed under: uncultured bacterium
Lineage: Bacteria
Description: partial 16S ribosomal RNA
Rfam family: Bacterial small subunit ribosomal RNA
Source: RNAcentral
UACGUAGGGGGCGAGCGUUGUCCGGAUUUAUUGGGCGUAAAGAGCUCGUAGGCGGCUUGGCAAGUCGGGUGUGAAACCUCCAGGCUCAACCUGGAGACGCCACUCGAUACUGCUAUGGCUAGAGUCCGGUAGGGGACCACGGAAUUCCUGGUGUAGCGGUGAAAUGCGUAGAUAUCGAGAGGAACACCAGUGGCGAAGGCGAGUCUCUGGACAUUUCCUGACGCUGAGGCACGAAAGCCAGGGGAGCAAACGGG